RNAcentral lists this ribosomal RNA (510 nucleotides) under uncultured bacterium. RNAcentral's name for it is "bacterial SSU rRNA". It matches the Rfam family "Bacterial small subunit ribosomal RNA", at positions 33 to 507 of the family's 1533-position model. The record is from RNAcentral.
GACACGCUGGCGGCGUGCCUAACACAUGCAAGUCGAACGGAGAUUAUUGAUGAAGCUUGCGAUUUAAUAAUCUUAGUGGCGGACGGGUGAGUAACGCGUGGGUAACCUGCCCAUAAGAGGGGGAUAACAGCUGGAAACGGCUGCUAAUACCGCAUACGCUUUCCGGGACACAAGUGCCGGAAAGGAAAGAUGGCCUCUACAUGUAAGCUAUCACUUAUGGAUGGACCCGCGUCUGAUUAGCUAGUUGGUGGGGUAGAAGCCUACCAAGGCGACGAUCAGUAGCCGGCCUGAGAGGGUGGACGGCCACACUGGGACUGAGACACGGCCCAGACUCCUACGGGAGGCAGCAGUGGGGAAUAUUGCGCAAUGGGGGAAACCCUGACGCAGCGACGCCGCGUGAGCGAAGAAGGCCUUCGGGUUGUAAACUGCUUUUGUACGGAACGAAAAGACUCCUUCUAAUAAAGGGGGUUCAUGACGGUACCCAAAGAAUAAGCACCGGCUAACUUCGUG